RNAcentral lists this transfer RNA (84 nucleotides) under Minisyncoccota bacterium. Its description in RNAcentral is "tRNA-Leu". It matches the Rfam family "tRNA". From Rfam's summary of the family: Transfer RNA (tRNA) molecules are approximately 80 nucleotides in length. Their secondary structure includes four short double-helical elements and three loops (D, anti-codon, and T loops). The record is from RNAcentral. Lineage: Bacteria; Bacillati; Minisyncoccota.
GCCGAAGUGGCGGAACUGGUAGACGCGCACGUUUCAGGUACGUGUGGGAUUAUUCCCAUGGAGGUUCGAGUCCUCUCUUCGGCA